GACGAACGCUGGCGGCGUGCUUAACACAUGCAAGUCGAACGGAAAGGCCCUGCUUUUGUGGGGUGCUCGAGUGGCGAACGGGUGAGUAACACGUGAGUAACCUGCCCUUGACUUUGGGAUAACUUCAGGAAACUGGGGCUAAUACCGGAUAGGAGCUCCUGCUGCAUGGUGGGGGUUGGAAAGUUUCGGCGGUUGGGGAUGGACUCGCGGCUUAUCAGCUUGUUGGUGGGGUAGUGGCUUACCAAGGCUUUGACGGGUAGCCGGCCUGAGAGGGUGACCGGCCACAUUGGGACUGAGAUACGGCCCAGACUCCAACGGGAGGCAGCAGUGGGGAAUAUUGCACAGUGGGCGGAAGCCGGAUGCAGCAACGCCGCGUGCGGGAUGACGGCCUUCGGGUUGUAAACCGCUUUCGCCUGUGACGAAGCGUGAGUGACGGUAAUGGGUAAAGAAGCACCGGCUAACUACGUG
RNAcentral lists this ribosomal RNA (468 nucleotides) under uncultured bacterium. RNAcentral describes it as "partial 16S ribosomal RNA". It matches the Rfam family "Bacterial small subunit ribosomal RNA", at positions 28 to 507 of the family's 1533-position model. The record is from RNAcentral.